RNAcentral lists this ribosomal RNA (732 nucleotides) under uncultured Bacilli bacterium. RNAcentral's name for it is "bacterial SSU rRNA". It matches the Rfam family "Bacterial small subunit ribosomal RNA", at positions 28 to 731 of the family's 1533-position model. The record is from RNAcentral. Lineage: Bacteria; Bacillati; Bacillota; Bacilli.
GACGAACGCUGGCGGCGUGCCUAAUACAUGCAAGUCGAACGCUUCUUUCCUCCCGAGUGCUUGCACUCAACUGGAAAGAGGAGUGGCGGACGGGUGAGUAACACGUGGGUAACCUACCCAUCAGAGGGGGAUAACACUUGGAAACAGGUGCUAAUACCGCAUAACAGUUUAUGCCGCAUGGCAUAAGAGUGAAAGGCGCUUUCGGGUGUCGCUGAUGGAUGGACCCGCGGUGCAUUAGCCAGUUGGUGAGGUAACGGCUCACCAAGGCCACGAUGCAUAGCCGACCUGAGAGGGUGAUCGGCCACACUGGGACUGAGACACGGCCCAGACUCCUACGGGAGGCAGCAGUAGGGAAUCUUCGGCAAUGGACGAAAGUCUGACCGAGCAACGCCGCGUGAGUGAAGAAGGUUUUCGGAUCGUAAAACUCUGUUGUUAGAGAAGAACAAGGACGUUAGUAACUGAACGUCCCCUGACGGUAUCUAACCAGAAAGCCACGGCUAACUACGUGCCAGCAGCCGCGGUAAUACGUAGGUGGCAAGCGUUGUCCGGAUUUAUUGGGCGUAAAGCGAGCGCAGGCGGUUUCUUAAGUCUGAUGUGAAAGCCCCCGGCUCAACCGGGGAGGGUCAUUGGAAACUGGGAGACUUGAGUGCAGAAGAGGAGAGUGGAAUUCCAUGUGUAGCGGUGAAAUGCGUAGAUAUAUGGAGGAACACCAGUGGCGAAGGCGGCUCUCUG